GGCAGGCCUAACACAUGCAAGUCGAGCCGCUUCCCUUCGGGGAGGAGCGGCGGACGGGUUAGUAACGCGUGGGAAUAUACCCAGUUCUAAGGAAUAGCCACUGGAAACGGUGAGUAAUACCUUAUACGCCCUUCGGGGGAAAGAUUUAUCGGAAUUGGAUUAGCCCGCGUUAGAUUAGAUAGUUGGUGGGGUAAUGGCCUACCAAGUCUACGAUCUAUAGCUGGUUUGAGAGGAUGAUCAGCAACACUGGGACUGAGACACGGCCCAGACUCCUACGGGAGGCAGCAGUAGGGAAUCUUAGACAAUGGGGGCAACCCUGAUCUAGCCAUGCCGCGUGUGUGAUGAAGGCCCUAGGGUCGUAAAGCACUUUCGCCAGAGAUGAUAAUGACAGUAUCUGGUAAAGAAACCCCGGCUAACUCCGUGCCCACAGCCGCGGUAAUAC
This 442-nucleotide ribosomal RNA is filed under the name uncultured Alphaproteobacteria bacterium. RNAcentral describes it as "bacterial SSU rRNA". It matches the Rfam family "Bacterial small subunit ribosomal RNA", at positions 41 to 526 of the family's 1533-position model. The record is from RNAcentral. Lineage: Bacteria; Pseudomonadati; Pseudomonadota; Alphaproteobacteria.